RNAcentral lists this ribosomal RNA (495 nucleotides) under uncultured bacterium. Its description in RNAcentral is "partial 16S ribosomal RNA". It matches the Rfam family "Bacterial small subunit ribosomal RNA", at positions 28 to 507 of the family's 1533-position model. The record is from RNAcentral.
GACGAACGCUGGCGGCGUGCCUAAUACAUGCAAGUAGAACGCUGAAGGAGGAGCUUGCUUCUCUGGAUGAGUUGCGAACGGGUGAGUAACGCGUAGGUAACCUGCCUGGUAGCGGGGGAUAACUAUUGGAAACGAUAGCUAAUACCGCAUAAUAGUAGAUGUUGCAUGACAUUUGCUUAAAAGGUGCAAUUGCAUCACUACCAGAUGGACCUGCGUUGUAUUAGCUAGUUGGUGGGGUAACGGCUCACCAAGGCGACGAUACAUAGCCGACCUGAGAGGGGGAUCGGCCACACUGGGACUGAGACACGGCCCAGAAUCCUACGGGGGGCAGCAGUAGGGAAUCUUCGGCAAUGGACGGAAGUCUGACCGAGCAACGCCGCGUGAGUGAAGAAGGUUUUCGGAUCGUAAAGCUCUGUUGUAAGAGAAGAACGAGUGUGAGAGUGGAAAGUUCACACUGUGACGGUAUCUUACCAGAAAGGGACGGCUAACUACGUG